RNAcentral lists this unclassified non-coding RNA (509 nucleotides) under Hevea brasiliensis (rubber tree). The record is from RNAcentral. Lineage: Eukaryota; Viridiplantae; Streptophyta; Magnoliopsida; Malpighiales; Euphorbiaceae.
UUCGCUUCUUCUUUGGUGGCGGCACUGAGGGUAGCGCCUCUUGAUUGCCAAAAGAAGAUACACUGGUGGCUUCUCCAGAAGCAAUAGAAAUUGUCAUUUGUGAAGAAUUCUCAACUUCCACCAUUCUGUUUCCUUCAACGCUAAAUCAACCUCAAGUUGACUACACCCUUCCAGUUCUCGAUUAAAAAGCUCAACUGCCAAGGGAAAUGGUGAACCCAACCAAACAAGCUACACCAACCUAUUCUGGAUGAAUGAAUCGUAAGUUACCCAAAAUAACAAUUAACUACAAUUGAUGUUUGGAUACAGAGAACUCUGAUUCUGUCUCCGCAAUUGGAUCAUUCCAGAGGAAAAAGAAAAGAACCUAUUUCCACAAAAUUCUACUCUCUGAACUCCCUCACAGUGAAGAGAAACAGAACACCGAUUCAACUAUGUCCGUGACCGGUGGUUCACGGUCCCAAAAAGCGGCUGCCUCAGUUCACACUCAUCUCUGUAGAGAGAGAGAGAGAGAU